AUUGAACGCUGGCGGCAGGCCUAACACAUGCAAGUCGAGCGGAGCGGCGGACGGGUGAGUAAUGCCUAGGAAUCUGCCUGGUCGUGGGGGAUAACGUUCGGAAACGGGCGCUAAUCCCGCAUACUAUCAGAUGAGCCUAGGUCGGAUUAGCUAGUUGGUGGGGUAAAGGCGUACCAAGGCGACGAUCCGUAACUGGUCUGAGAGGAUGAUCAGUCACAGUGGAACGGAGACACGGUCCAGACUCGUACGGGAGGCAGGAGUGGGGAAUAUUGGACAAUGGGCGGAAGCCUGAUCCAGCCAAUCCGCGUGUGUGAAGAAGGUCUUCGGAUUGUAAAGCACUUUAAGUUGGGAGGCGUUACCAGCAGAAUAAGCACCGGCUAACUUCGUGCCAGCAGCCGCGGUAAUAC
This 407-nucleotide ribosomal RNA is filed under the name uncultured bacterium. RNAcentral describes it as "partial 16S ribosomal RNA". It matches the Rfam family "Bacterial small subunit ribosomal RNA", at positions 30 to 526 of the family's 1533-position model. The record is from RNAcentral.